This 559-nucleotide ribosomal RNA is filed under the name uncultured bacterium. Its description in RNAcentral is "bacterial SSU rRNA". It matches the Rfam family "Bacterial small subunit ribosomal RNA", at positions 338 to 916 of the family's 1533-position model. The record is from RNAcentral.
CCUACGGGAGGCAGCAGUGAGGAAUUUUCCGCAAUGGGCGAAAGCCUGACGGAGCAAUACCGCGUGAGGGAUGAAGGAUUUUGGUCUGUAAACCUCUUUUCUCAAGAAAGAAGUUCUGACGGUACUUGAGGAAUAAGCAUCGGCUAACUCCGUGCCAGCAGCCGCGGUAAUACGGGGGAUGCAAGCGUUAUCCGGAAUGAUUGGGCGUAAAGCGCCUGUAGGUUGUUUAUUAAGUCCGUUGUUAAAGCCUAGGGCUCAACCCUAGAAAAGCAAUGGAAACUAGUAGACUAGAGUAUGGCAGGGGUAGAGGGAAUUUCUAGUGUAGCGGUGAAAUGCGUAGAUAUUAGAAAGAACACCGGUGGCGAAAGCGCUCUACUGGACCAUUACUGACACUCAGAGGCGAAAGCUAGGGUAGCAAAAGGGAUUAGAUACCCCUGUAGUCCUAGCCGUAAACGAUGGAUACUAGAUGUUGUGCAUUAUGUACAGUAUCGUAGCUAACGCGUUAAGUAUCCCGCCUGGGGAGUACGCUCGCAAGGGUGAAACUCAAAUGAAUUGACGG